CUCCUCGAAAUAGCUUUAGGGCUAGCCUUGAGGGAAGAUAUGUGGGGGUAGAGCACUGAAUGAGGUAGGGGCCUAACCAGGUUACUGAACUCUAUCAAACUGCGAAUACCAUGUAUUAAUACUCAGGAGUCAGACUACGGGAGCUAAGUUCCGUGGUCAAAAGGGAAAGAGCCCAGACCGACAAUUAAGGUCCCAAAGAUAUAGUUAAGUGGGAAACGAUGUGAAUUUGCGUAAACAACCAGGAUGUUGGCUCAGAAGCAGCCAUUCAUUCAAAGAGUGCGUAACAGCUCACUGGUCGAGUGAAUUUGCGCGGAAAAUUACCGGGGCUAAACUAUACACCGAAAUUACGGAUUUGUAAAUGAAAAUUUAUAAGUGGUAGAGGAGCAUUCUGUGGUAGGGCGAAGCUAAAGCGAGAGCAUUAGUGGACGAAGCAGAAGAGAGAAUGCUGGAAUAAGUAGCGAGAGCGAGGUGAGAAUCCUUGCCGUCGAAAGUCUAAGGUUUCCUGGGGAAGGUUCGUCCGCCCAGGGUAAGUCGGGACCUAAGGAGAGGCCGAAAGGCGUAUCUGAUGGAUAGCAGGUGGAAAUUCCUGCACUAUAGCCAUACUUAAAAGAUGCAAGGGACGCAGGAGAGGAAGAUAACCGAGGAAGAGGAAAAACUCGGAUCGAAAGAUGGAGUGAAAAUAGAAGUAACGAAGUAUCAAGAAUCACACUGACGAGAAAAGCUUGUAGAGAUUGUAUGGAAAUACCCGUACCGCAAACCGACACAGGUAGAUGAGGAGAGGAUCCUAAGACGAACGGGAGAAGCAUUGUUAAGGAACUCGGCAAAAUAACCCCGUAACUUCGGGAGAAGGGGAGCCUAUGUAAAAGUAGGCCGCAGUGAAAAGGCCCAAGCAACUGUUUAACAAAAACACAGGUUUCUGCUAAAUCGAAAGAUGAAGUAUAGGAGCUGACGCCUGCCCAGUGCUGGAAGGUUAAGGGGAAAUGUUAGGAGCAAUCCGAAGCAUAGAACUGAAGCCCCAGUGAACGGCGGCCGUAACUAUAACGGUCCUAAGGUAGCGAAAUUCCUUGUCAGGUAAGUUCUGACCCGCACGAAAGGCGUAAUGAUUUGGGCACUGUCUCGACAAUGUACCCGGCGAAAUUGUAGUACUAGUGAAGAUGCUAGUUACCUGCGACAAGACAGAAAGACCCCAUGGAGCUUUACUGCAGUUUGAUACUGGGUUUUGAUAAACUAUGUACAGGAUAGGUGGGAGACUAAGAAAGCAAGGCGUCAGCUUUGCUGGAGUCACCGUUGGGAUACCACUCUUAGUUUGUUGAAAUUCUAACUAGUGGUCAUGACCUGGCCAGAGGACAAUGUCAGAC
RNAcentral lists this ribosomal RNA (1358 nucleotides) under human gut metagenome. RNAcentral describes it as "bacterial LSU rRNA". It matches the Rfam family "Bacterial large subunit ribosomal RNA", at positions 855 to 2262 of the family's 2925-position model. The record is from RNAcentral.